GGGUUGUGAGGUUAAGCGAAUAAGCGUACACGGUGGAUGCCUAGGCAAUCAGAGGCGAUGAAGGACGUGCUAAUCUGCGAAAAGCGUCGGUAAGGUGAUAUGAACCGUUAUACCCGACGAUAUCCGAAUGGGGAAACCCAGUAUCCAAUGGAUACUAUCAUUAACUGAAUCCAUAGGUUAAUGAGGCGAACCGGGAGAACUGAAACAUCUCAGUACCCCGAGGAAAAGAAAUCAACCGAGAUUCCCCUAGUAGCGGCGAGCGAACGGGGAGCAGCCCAGAGUCUUAAUCAAUAGCAGUGUCAGGAGAACGGUCUGGAAAGUCCGGCAGUAAAGGGUGAUAGCCCCGUAUCUGAAGAUGCUGUUAUUGUGAACUCGACGAGUAGGGCGGGACACGUGUUAUCCUGUCUGAAUAUGGGGGGACCAUCCUCCAAGGCUAAAUACUCCUGAUUGACCGAUAGUGAACCAGUACCGUGAGGGAAAGGCGAAAAGAACCCCGGCGAGGGGAGUGAAAAAGAACCUGAAACCGUGUACGUACAAGCAGUAGGAGCCUCUUUAUGGGGUGACUGCGUACCUUUUGUAUAAUGGGUCAGCGACUUAUAUUCUGUAGCAAGGUUAACCGCAUAGGGGAGCCGUAGGGAAACCGAGUCUUAACUGGGCGAAUGAGUUGCAGGGUAUAGACCCGAAACCCGGUGAUCUAUCCAUGGGCAGGUUGAAGGUUGGGUAACACUAACUGGAGGACCGAACCGACUAAUGUUGAAAAAUUAGCGGAUGACUUGUGGAUGGGGGUGAAAGGCCAAUCAAACCGGGAGAUAGCUGGUUCUCCCCGAAAGCUAUUUAGGUAGCGCCUCGUGAACUCAUCUUCGGGGGUAGAGCACUGUUUCGACUAGGGGGUCAUCCCGACUUACCAACUCGAUGCAAACUGCGAAUACCGAAGAAUGUUAUCACGGGAGACACACGGCGGGUGCUAACGUCCGUCGUGAAGAGGGAAACAACCCAGACCGCCAGCUAAGGUCCCAAAGUCAUGGUUAAGUGGGAAACGAAGUGGGAAGGCUCAGACAGCCAGGAUGUUGGCUUAGAAGCAGCCAUCAUUUAAAGAAAGCGUAAUAGCUCACUGGUCGAGUCGGCCCGCGCGGAAGAUGUAACGGGGCUAAACCAUGCACCGAAGCUGCGGCAGCGACACAAAGUGUUGUUGGGUAGGGGAGCGUUCUGUAAGCCUGCGAAGGUGUACUGUGAGGUAUGCUGGAGGUAUCAGAAGUGCGAAUGCUGACAUAAGUAACGAUAAUGCGGGUGAAAAACCCGCACGCCGGAAGACCAAGGGUUCCUGUCCAACGUUAAUCGGGGCAGGGUGAGUCGACCCCUAAGGCGAGGCUGAAAAGCGUAGUCGAUGGGAAACGGGUUAAUAUUCCCGUACUGGUGGUAACUGCGAUGGGGGAACGGAGAAGGCUAGGUUGUCCGGGCGACGGUCGUCCCGGUUCAAGCAGGUAGGCAGAGUGAUUAGGCAAAUCCGGUCACUUAAUGCUGAGAUGUGAUGACGAACCACCAAGGUGGUGAAGCAAUUGAUGCCCCGCUUCCAGGAAAAGCCUCUAAGCUUCAGGUUACCAACAAUCGUACCCCAAACCGACACAGGUGGUCAGGUAGAGAAUACUCAGGCGCUUGAGAGAACUCGGGUGAAGGAACUAGGCAAAAUGGUGCCGUAACUUCGGGAGAAGGCACGCUGGCGGUAGGUAAAGUCCCUCGCGGACGGCGCUGAAGCCAGUCGAAGAUACCAGCUGGCUGCAACUGUUUAUUAAAAACACAGCACUGUGCAAACACGAAAGUGGACGUAUACGGUGUGACGCCUGCCCGGUGCUGGAAGGUUAAUUGAUGGGGUCAGCCGUAAGGCGAAGCUCCUGAUCGAAGCCCCAGUAAACGGCGGCCGUAACUAUAACGGUCCUAAGGUAGCGAAAUUCCUUGUCGGGUAAGUUCCGACCUGCACGAAUGGCGUAAUGAUGGCCAGGCUGUCUCCACCCGAGACUCAGUGAAAUUGAACUCGCUGUGAAGAUGCAGUGUACCCGCGGCAAGACGGAAAGACCCCGUGAACCUUUACUAUAGCUUGACACUGAACAUUGAGCCUUGAUGUGUAGGAUAGGUGGGAGGCUUUGAAGUGUGGACGCCAGUCUGCAUGGAGCCAACCUUGAAAUACCACCCUUUAACGUUUGAUGUUCUAACCUAGGCCCAUAAACUGGGUCGGGGACCGUGUCUGGUGGGUAGUUUGACUGGGGCGGUCUCCUCCUAAAGAGUAACGGAGGAGCACGAAGGUUGGCUAAGCAUGGUCGGACAUCAUGCGGUUAGUGCAAAGGCAUAAGCCAGCUUGACUGCGAGAGUGACGGCUCGAGCAGGUACGAAAGUAGGUCUUAGUGAUCCGGUGGUUCUGAAUGGAAGGGCCAUCGCUCAACGGAUAAAAGGUACUCCGGGGAUAACAGGCUGAUACCGCCCAAGAGUUCAUAUCGACGGCGGUGUUUGGCACCUCGAUGUCGGCUCAUCACAUCCUGGGGCUGAAGUAGGUCCCAAGGGUAUGGCUGUUCGCCAUUUAAAGUGGUACGCGAGCUGGGUUUAGAACGUCGUGAGACAGUUCGGUCCCUAUCUGCCGUGGGCGUUGGAAGAUUGAGAGGGGUUGCUCCUAGUACGAGAGGACCGGAGUGAACGCACCACUGGUGUUCGGGUUGUCAUGCCAAUGGCAUUGCCCGGUAGCUAAGUGCGGAAGAGAUAACCGCUGAAAGCAUCUAAGCGGGAAACUUGCCUCGAGAUGAGUCUUCCCUGUCACUUUAAGUGACCUAAAGGAACGUUUAAGACUAAGACGUUGAUAGGCUGGGUGUGUAAGCGUAGCGAUACGUUGAGCUAACCAGUACUAAUGAACCGUGAGGCUUAACCUGACAACACCGAAAGUGUUUUG
This 2932-nucleotide ribosomal RNA is filed under the name Proteus mirabilis. RNAcentral describes it as "23S ribosomal RNA". It matches the Rfam family "Bacterial large subunit ribosomal RNA". Lineage: Bacteria; Pseudomonadati; Pseudomonadota; Gammaproteobacteria; Enterobacterales; Morganellaceae. The record is from RNAcentral.